AACAGCAGAAGUCGACUCAUGAGUCGACUCAUGCCUUGUGGGUCGACUCAUGAGUCGACUCACAGGUCGUACCAAGCCAAAAAACCAGCGUGCCAAGGGAAAUUUUAGCGUGCCAAUCAGCUCAUUGUGCCAUGAGUUGACUCAUGAGUCGACUCAUGCACUUCAAACAUUCAUAACUUCAAAAAUAUAAGUCCAAAAAUAAUAAAAUUUUCACCAAUAGAUUACAAAUC
This 230-nucleotide long non-coding RNA is filed under the name Elaeis guineensis (African oil palm). RNAcentral's name for it is "long non-coding RNA (EGUI_LNC067290)". The record is from RNAcentral. Lineage: Eukaryota; Viridiplantae; Streptophyta; Magnoliopsida; Arecales; Arecaceae.